This 897-nucleotide ribosomal RNA is filed under the name Triticum aestivum (bread wheat). RNAcentral's name for it is "partial small subunit ribosomal RNA". Lineage: Eukaryota; Viridiplantae; Streptophyta; Magnoliopsida; Poales; Poaceae. The record is from RNAcentral.
AUGAACAGAUCUGGUUUGUUGAUGUGUUUAGGGGGUUGUAUCGAAGCAGAAGUGUUAUCAUAUUGCAUAAGAAUAUCUAUAACAGAAGCUUUUGGUGGAUUUACCAAACUCCAAUAUUUGAGUUUAGCAGGACAAACUAAUAUAGACGUGGAUAGGAGAGGGCUGUCACAGGUCAUUGGUAACCUAACCAAACUUAGGUAUCUAAAUCUGUCAGGGUGCAUGGACAGUAUGGUCACAUCAGAUCAAAUUGAUAGCUUGCUCGACUCUAUCAGUACUCUUUCCAAUCUAGAGCAUCUGGUCUUGUCUGAGAAUUCAAAGAUUUGCAGUAUACCAGAAAGUAUUGGCAACCUAAGGAAGCUUCAUACAUUGGACCUCUCGGGCUGCUAUGACCUGAAGACGCUUCCCGAUAGUAUGGAUCAGAUGGUUAGUCUUAAGGUUCUAAAUUUGGAACGGGUUACAUUGGAUGAAUUGGUGGUAUCUCGGUUCAACUGUGCCUCUUCGCCACACUUUGAGGUACAUGCUUCAGGUGAUAAAUGUAGCAGCAAUAUCAUCCUGCUUCGGCCCACAAAUCCUGUUGAGCUGUGGGUAGAUAGACUUGAAAAUGUGAAGUCUGCAGAAGAGGCACACGAUAUAAACCUGAUAGAGAAACAAAAAAUUGAAGAGCUAACACUUACAUGGACUGUAGCUGUUGGCAGGUUUGUGGAUGCCAAGGAGGUGUUGGAAAAACUAGUGCCACCAAGCAGUGUACUGAAAUUGUAUGUAGUUGGUUAUAGGAGUGUCAGCUUACCUGAUUGGCUUAUGGGUAUCUGGAAGCAUCUCCCUAAUCUUGUGGAGAUACAUCUACGUGAUUUUCCUAGUGUAAUAACCUACCACUACUUGGUCAACUACCAAACUUAG